AAGUGAAUUUAAAUUCAUGUGUAUAUGUUAACUGGGUGCUGGUGGGUUGACGAUUUCGUCUUGUUGAUCUGUUGGCAUGAUUUCGGAUGCCUUUAAACGGGUGUCGAAAGCGGAUGGCAUCUGUACUUUGAACAAAUUUGAGUGCUUAAAGUAGGUCUAUGCACCUGAAAAUUUCUGCAUGGAGUAAUAAAAUAGGACUUCGGUUCUAUUUUGUUGGUUUUUGAAUUCGAAGGACAGACCGGGGCAUUUGUAUGGCGGUGUUAGAGGUGAAAUUCUGGAAUCGACGCCAGACAAACUACAGCGAAAGCAUUUGCCAAUAAUGUUUUAAUUGAUCAGGAGCGAACGUCGUAGUUCUGAAUACGAUCAAAUACCGUCGUAUUUCUGACCGUAAACGAUGCCGACUGAAAAUCCGCGUUGAUUCUAUAGUUGAAAUCGCUAGCAGUCCACGGUAAAUCUUUAAGUCUUUGGGCU
This 471-nucleotide non-coding RNA is filed under the name Schistosoma margrebowiei. Its description in RNAcentral is "Eukaryotic small subunit ribosomal RNA". It matches the Rfam family "Eukaryotic small subunit ribosomal RNA", at positions 636 to 1113 of the family's 1831-position model. The record is from Rfam by way of RNAcentral. Lineage: Eukaryota; Metazoa; Platyhelminthes; Trematoda; Strigeidida; Schistosomatidae.